This 393-nucleotide ribosomal RNA is filed under the name uncultured bacterium. RNAcentral's name for it is "partial 16S ribosomal RNA". It matches the Rfam family "Bacterial small subunit ribosomal RNA", at positions 523 to 918 of the family's 1533-position model. The record is from RNAcentral.
AUACGGAAGGUGCGAGCGUUAUCCGGAUUCAUUGGGUUUAAAGGGAGCGCAGGCGGAGAUGCAAGCGUGACGUCAAAUUUCGGGGCUCAACCCCGUCUCGCGUCGCGAACUGCGUCCCUUGGUUGCGGGAAGGGGAGGCGGAACUCGUGGUGUAGCGGUGAAAUGCAUAGAUAUCACGAAGAACUCCGAUCGCGAAGGCAGCCUUCCGGCCCGUCAACGACGCUCAUGCUCGAAGGUGCGGGUAUCAAACAGGAUUAGAUACCCUGGUAGUCCGCACAGUAAACGAUGGACACCCGCGGUUUGGCCUGUAUGGCUGAGCCGCCAAGCGAAAGCGUUAAGUGUCCCACCUGGGGAGUACGCCGGCAACGGUGAAACUCAAAUGAAUUGACGGGG